AUGAUAAUUAGUUUAAGCCAAAAACAAAUGAUUUCGACUCA
This 41-nucleotide transfer RNA is filed under the name Canis lupus (wolf). Its description in RNAcentral is "partial tRNA-Arg". The record is from RNAcentral. Lineage: Eukaryota; Metazoa; Chordata; Mammalia; Carnivora; Canidae. RNAcentral also lists the same sequence under 1 other name.